This is a long non-coding RNA of Amphimedon queenslandica, 294 nucleotides long. RefSeq lists it as uncharacterized. The record is from RefSeq and is a predicted model, not a curated record. The transcript is spliced from 3 exons. Lineage: Eukaryota; Metazoa; Porifera; Demospongiae; Haplosclerida; Niphatidae.
GGCGGCGUUGGAACAGAUGCAGCUUCUGAGCUUUUCAUACAGGGAAGAGAAGAAGUUGAUGAUGAAAAUUAUGGAGUUACUAAUGACAGCAAAAUAACAGAUGAGGAGUUUAACGAGAGCUUUGCUGCUAAACAUUGAAUUAUGAAAUGUACAUCAAAAAGUGUUGAUAGAAAAUAUGUGUUUCAUUUACCUGACACAUUCCCAAAGACUCAAAGUAUCUUGAGGUACGUUAUUCCGCUCGUCAUCCUGCCCCUCCCCCACCUCCUCUGGUCUCUCAUACAGCUGUGUGUUUGG